This 371-nucleotide ribosomal RNA is filed under the name uncultured organism. RNAcentral's name for it is "bacterial SSU rRNA". It matches the Rfam family "Bacterial small subunit ribosomal RNA", at positions 526 to 896 of the family's 1533-position model. The record is from RNAcentral.
CAGAGGGUGCAAGCGUUAAUCGGAAUUACUGGGCGUAAAGCGUGCGUAGACGGUUAUGUAAGUCAGAUGUGAAAGCCCCGGGCUCAACCUGGGAAUUGCAUUUGAGACUGCAUAGCUAGGAUGCGGAAGAGGGAAGUGGAAUUUCCGGUGUAGCGGUGAAAUGCGUAGAUAUCGGAAGGAACAUCAGUGGCGAAAGCGACUUCCUGGUCCAGCAUCGACGUUCAGGCACGAAAGCGUGGGGAGCAAACAGGAUUAGAUACCCUGGUAGUCCACGCCAUAAACGAUGAGAACUAGACGUUGAGAGGGUAAGCCUCCCAGUGUCGUAGCUAACGCGCUAAGUUCUCCGCCUGGGGAGUACGGCCGCAAGGUUG